ACGCCAAGCUUGACAGGCUUACUCUCAAUGAUUUCCGUUAAGGAAAUCUUUUGGCACCUCUAAAAAUGGUGCAGAAUAAGGGGUGGGCAAGUCUGGUGUCAGCCGCCGCGGUAAUACCAGCACCCCGAGUGGUCGGGACGAUUAUUGGGCCUAAAGCAUCCGUAGCCGGUUCUACAAGUCNUCCGUUAAAUCCACCUGCUNAACAGAUGGGCUGCGGAAGAUACUACAGAGCUAGGAGGCNGGAGAGGCAAGCGGUACUCAAUGGGUAGGGGUAAAAUCCGUUGAUCCAUUGAAGACCACCAGUGGCRAAGGCGGCUUGCCAGAA
This 325-nucleotide ribosomal RNA is filed under the name uncultured archaeon. RNAcentral's name for it is "bacterial SSU rRNA". It matches the Rfam family "Archaeal small subunit ribosomal RNA", at positions 357 to 685 of the family's 1478-position model. The record is from RNAcentral.